UUGAAUAACCUGGUGUUGAUGCUGGCUCUCUAGGGGGCAUGUGCUCACAUCAUCUUAUUUAUUAUCUCUUGUGCACCUUUUGUAGGCUCUGAAAGCGAGUACCUUUCGCAGCACUUCUAAAGUGCUCGCGGUCUGAGGGGUUUGACGAUGUCUCUCCUUACCCGCUUGCUUCAGAGUCUAUGUUUUAUAUACUCUGUUAAAGUCUUUGAAUGUCUUCUUAUUGACGAAAGUCAGUAAAAUCUAUA
RNAcentral lists this unclassified non-coding RNA (245 nucleotides) under uncultured fungus. RNAcentral describes it as "sequence contains ITS1, 5.8S rRNA gene". Lineage: Eukaryota; Fungi. The record is from RNAcentral.